This 842-nucleotide long non-coding RNA is filed under the name Equus caballus (horse). RNAcentral's name for it is "lncRNA (ENSECAG00000055042.1)". Lineage: Eukaryota; Metazoa; Chordata; Mammalia; Perissodactyla; Equidae. The record is from RNAcentral.
GCUACGUAAGGGGAACCUUAGUCUAAGGAAGGAUUGUCCUAAUAUUGCUUGAUCUCCUGACGCCCUGUUCUCCAAACCCUGGGCUCAGAUCCUUCUUGGGUUUUAUUGGGGGCAUAGGGUUCAGAGGAAGGGAAUGUGUAUGGGCUGGAGCAAUCAGGGAGGCUUCUUGGAGGGGGAAGACUGAAGCUGGAUCCUGAAGGAGGGUAGGGGAGGAGGAGGGGCAGAGGCACUCCAGGAGGGACGGGCAAGGGCAGAGCUGCCAGGGGAAAGAGGCCUGGGGAACCUGGGGUGGCAGGAAGGUUAAGGAUAUUAGGGUUGGAUCCCUGAAGGGCCUUGCAUGUCACAGUGUCUCCUGUGAGCACUGGGGAGCCAUGGGGGGUUUCAGAACAGGACACUAGUGGGUCCAAGCAGUUUUAGAAGACGGAUACUGCAACACUGUGGAGGGUGGAUCAGAGAGAAGAUGCCAACUUCUGAGGACCCUCAGGGACAUUGUCGUCUUCCCACUCUCCUUUGGUGCUGCUCUCUGCCUUGAUUCAGGAAAGCCUGAGCCAUUCCGGAAAAUUCAUCCAAACUGCUGCCCGAGGUCCGGACCCUUAGCCAACACCUGAGGUUCUUUGCACGCACCUCCGGACAAAGCCUGAGAUUCUCCCGCUGGAUCCCGAAGGCGACAAAGCCCAGACUGUCCUGUGAGCAGCCAGCUCUGACUGGAAUUCAGGUCUCGCCGGGCACGUCAGGAACAGGGCACAUCUGGAAAAGCGUUUGCCGAGGCUGUUGCUCCAGCAGGCCCAGACGGUGACCAGGCCUGAGUGGCCUCAAGCCCCGCCCAGGGCUCAGGAGCCAGG